UGUUUAACUUUAUGAUUUCUACAAUAUAAUGUCACUGAUCUGCAAUAUUUUAUAAUGGACCAGUUUACUCCUCCCCUCCUUCCCCAUCCCUCUCCCAUAAUAAUAACUAUUUGUAUUGUUUGUUGGUAGCCUUCACUUCCCGUCAUCUGUUUUAGCUCUUAAUUAAAAUUGAGCAUUUAGGUACAAAAUAUUUUCCUGGAGAAUUAAAGUAGAACUGAAAAUGAAGGGAGUUCAAGGAUUUAGUGGCUAACCACCACUCUGCCACUACACAAUUUGUAUGCUUUACUAACCUUGACUUGCUAGUAAUUCUAACAAACAUUUUUGAGUGAUAGCAUCGAUUUUCCAAUUAAUUCUAUGUUGUAGCAGUAUGCUACAACAAAUCUGGAGACAAUAGCUUGCUUGGUCCCAAAUUAUGAGUAUCUUGCUUGCAAUCUUCAUGUGAAAGAUCUAACGUGAACAAAUGGAUUGGUUAGUUUGGUAGUGUCACCUUUAUCACUCAUAUCAGUUAUGUGCUACACUUUAUGAAGAUUGUCAUCUUGAAAGUCAUAGCAAUUAGGUGAGAUGCGGUUAUGCACUCUUCAAAUCCAUUUUUUGAGAAGUGCUGGCUAUUGUGCUUUUCUGGGUCUCUGAGAUCCUAUGAUGAUAUAUGUUGUGUUGAAGGGAUAUCUAUAAUGCAGUGGGAUGAGUAAAGCCCGCUUUAGUAGUGGGAUCAUUUUUAGUCAUUCAUUGAACAAUAAAUCACUACAGACAAUUUCUCGUUAUUUUCUCCUUUCAUUUGAAGUGACCAUAAUAGCUAUAUAUUAGCGUCAACUCUGAUUUAUCUGUGAAACCUUCAAACUGAAACAGUCCUUCCUGACUGGUGGGGUUCGAGGGAUGAGCACCUCCUUCAAUCGUGGAAGUCUUGCACUCUUACUAGAGAUAUGAUUGUUAGCAGUUUAAACUGCUAAAUUUCACAAAGAGUGGCAUUUAUUUUUUCUUCACGUAGAGGACACUAUCAUUUAGAGCUUUCAAAAUAAUGACGUUACAAGGUUGCUAUCACCUGUUCAGGAGCAAGAUAUCCUUAUCAUAAGUUCACUCACCACUUUUGCAGGAAUAUGUUAAGGGCAUAUCAGCUACUGGUAUGCAGUCAAAUUAUGGUUUUGAUGGUCAGAUCAAUGCAUGUUGGACACAUAAAAUGUCUCGAAUGGAACUUGAGUUGAUCUGCUCUUCUAAAUUUCUAAUAUCAGUCAUUCAUGGCAGGUAUAAUUCUAAUCUCAAAGACUUAGUAUUCAUUCUUUUCACCUAACCAUAUCUGCUUAGAUAACUGAGACGAGUCUUUUGGACGUCUAGGGAUGAUGUUAUUGCUCAGUUACGCCAUGCAAGGAGACUUGCAGAGACACUUUACCCUUUUGCUAGAAUGGUAGAACUUCAUGGUGGCCAUCUUGUGAGUCAUGAGAGGACUGCAGAGGUAAAUACGCUGUUUCUGAUUAAUUUAUACAAGUAACUAUACAUUUAUUGGCAUUGUUGGAACCUUGUUGUCUAGAAUUAUGUAAAGUAUAAAGAUUGGGUAUCAGUAGAUGGGAUUCUUGAGGAUUUGCUAAAAAAGAAGAAAAAAUGUGUCAUUCAGCAAUAAGACGAAUAGUUAUUGAUUUAUUUUUUCUUUUGUAAUAGAAAGAUUGUCAUAAAACUUAUUUUAAAAAUCCAAAUUUGCAGUAGAAUUAACUUUUUAUUGCUCAGGUCAAUGAAGCUCUUCUUGAGUUGAUCAGGGCAUCAGAAAGUGAGAUAGACCCACUCGAAUGGACUAAUUUGCCCCAGCCCAGCCCAGGUAAGAAUCACAAACUGAAUAUGAACGUGUUUUUUCCGCAUUGGUUCCUUUUUAGAAUGUUCAUAUGUUAGUAGGUGGGUCCACCAAUAUCACCUACUAAAACCCUGAUUUCCUAAAGGCUAUGGCAUGAAGUUUCCUGAGCUCAUGUUCUCUCCCUUUGUGAGUUUUUCACUUGGAAAGCUCAGUUGGUCUCACUAGCAAACAUGGAAUGGUCUUGUGGACCAUAAAACCCUACCGUACCUUACCCUCAUACCAAUGGAUGUGUAAUGGGAUUUACUAGGUAUUGUUCUUGUUGAUGACAUUUGAUUUAAGGAACCCUUGUUUCAUAAAACUGGUGAUUCUGAUAACAGAAGCAGAAUGGUGAAAGUUAUCAUGAUGAAUGAUUUUAAACAGACCAGAUGAGAACUACAGUCACUUGGAACAAGAGAUCUUCUAAACAUCCUCUUUUGUACUGGCUUUUGUAUUAAUUUUCAAGAUCAUCUUUAACAAAUCCCAUCAUGUGCUUAUAAUAAACUCUCAUCGUUUGUAGGGUGGAUAGUGACAAGAAUAUCAUUAUACAAAAGAAAUCCCGAGGGAGGAAGCAAUAAAAAUUUGAUAUUUGGCAUUGUCGAAAAGCUAUAUCUUUUCCUUCUGUACCUCUUUGGCCUCCUCGUCUUGGCAUUUGAGCAUAUACGGAGAGCUAUAAGAAGUUUAAAACCAGUUAAAGUGGAAGCGGUCCUGACAUAAGCUUCUAUUGACAAAGCAGUCAUUAUGUUUGAGUAAGUACUAGACCCUUUAUCCUUUUCUACUGAAAAGUGAAAACUCAUCGAAUAGGAGCUGUUUUCUAACCAUCUGUAUCUAUUCUUUUCGCAGGGGGUUUAUUAUGACCCGUGUAAUCCGCUUGUAAUACCAAUUUCUAUGAAUAUCUAACAAAAGAGUAUAUAGGAGAGAUGCAGCCAUCUCAGUGUCAGUCGAGAAUAUUAUCUUUAAAAAUUUAGGUGUGGAAGGAGUCAAAACAGCCAAAUAUUUAAGGCAUAUACUUGAACACUAAAAAGAAUCAGGCAGAAUAGAGGGAAUAACUAGCAUCUCUCCCCUUGCAUCUACAUAUAUUAUCAUUGUAUUGCUCCCACUCCUUUUCUUUUUCUUGUGUAAAAAAGGCCUACAGUUAAUAUUCAUAGAAAACAAGAUAUCUCCCUGGUAGUUAUAUAUAUAUAUACGGUCCAGAUCAAGUGCAUACCCCUUAUCUUACUCACCCGUGCUCACCCCUUUUUAGCGACGGACCCGACGACGAUUCGGUCAUACAACCGUCGUCUAUACUUUUAGCGACGCUAUAUGUUGUCUGUCGCUAAAAGUAUAGACGACGACGGUUGUAUGACAGAAACCGUCGUCGGAUCCGCCGCUAAAGGGGGGUGAGCACGGGUGAGUAAAAUAAGGGGUAAGCACUUGAUCCUUGCUCUAUAUAUAUAUAUAUAUAUAUAUGGGCUAUAUGUAUACACAGCUGUGUAUUAUACACCAUAUCUCAGAAUAGAUAUAACGACGGGUAAAACCGUUGUCAUAGCCGACUCUGUAAUACUCAGCUGUGUACAUAUAUUUUUUCAUAUAAAUAUUCUUCUUGUGGCCACAUGAUAUCUCACCGUCGAAACGAAGAUUGUUAUUUGGCUAUUAAACACUUGGAUAAACAGUUUGGAUGUUUGGCGAAUAUGGUCAAUUACGCUGUUGCCCCUCUAUUUAAUAAAAUAACUUUAAUAUGAGAGAGAAUUAAUACUUGUACAAUGACAUCCAUGUAAUGUUGUGUGAAUAUUUUAAAAAUAAUAAUAUGUUGAAUGCAAAUAAUGGGAGCCAAAUCAGAUAGCAUGAUAUAUAUAUAUAUAUAUAUAUAUAUAUAUAUAUAUAUAUAUAUAUAUAUAUAUAUAUACACUUCUGUGCAUGAAGUUGCUUAAUUACUUUUCGUUCACAAAACAAAAUCUCUAAAAUUUUACAUAAAACAACUGAAAUUAAAGCAUACUAUGAGAAGAUAGAGGAACUUGCCUGGCAAAAAAUUGCAUAUGAAAUCAUGGGAGUGAUAAUUUUGUUCAAUUGAUCAAUAUAGUGUCGACACAUAAGCCGAAAAGUGAUCUCUCUACAUGUCAAUCAAUUGACCAAUUUGUUAAAUCAUGGAGAGAAAAAUAACUGAUUUAAGAUGAAGAAGUUAGGAGU
RNAcentral lists this long non-coding RNA (3979 nucleotides) under Panax ginseng (ginseng). RNAcentral's name for it is "long non-coding RNA (PGIN_LNC005659)". The record is from RNAcentral. Lineage: Eukaryota; Viridiplantae; Streptophyta; Magnoliopsida; Apiales; Araliaceae.